This is a long non-coding RNA of Pecten maximus, 4663 nucleotides long. RefSeq lists it as uncharacterized. The record is from RefSeq and is a predicted model, not a curated record. NCBI's taxonomy places the organism in Eukaryota, Metazoa, Mollusca, Bivalvia, Pectinida, Pectinidae. The transcript has 2 exons.
AUGAAAAUAUAAGUUUUGCAGUGAAAAUAUAAGGUUUUCCUUUUUUUGACCAAUCAGAGCAGACCUUUGUAUUCACCUCGUUGAAACUUGCCGAUUUUUCCAGUCGAAGCGGAGAAAGAUAAAUGGGUUAUUUUGCUGUAAUUCUGAAAUUUUCAGACUAAUUUUUGACAAAAUACUGACUUGAUGUUAGUUAUUCAUGCACAGAUUCUCCUAUAACAGCAGAAAACUCUUAAAUAUUGCGUUGAUCAGUCCUUUCAAAAUGCCGCCGUCAACUUGACGUGGAGUAACAAACAGAUGACGUCAUUACUGAUUCCCGCACUUUUUGACACUAUUAAUUUUUCGAUAUUUUUUAUUUAGUUUUUUUAAGUUUAUGAAAUGCAAUAAAAAGGAAAUUGAAUGGUUUCCCGUUAAAUAUAACAUAUAUUUCACUCGUAUGACAGUCUGAAAUUUUCAAUGUACAUGUAUAAAUUUUUGACAAAAAGUUGAGAAAAACUACAUUAAAAUUAUGGUGUCCAACAGAGACAGCUGCAGCCUUGACAAUAGUCUUUUUCAGUGUGUUCCAUUGUGUUCCUUCCUUGGUCAGCAUGAAAGUAUAGAUUGCAAAUAACUGGCGGUUUGUGUCGCCUAGCUGACGUGUUUCACUGAACUGUAUUUGUUUUGUAUAUAUUUAGCUUAUUGGGGCUGAGCUUAUGCCAUAUGUCAAAACAUCAAUCAUCCCUCCUCCCAUUGGCUGUCAUCUCUCAACAUCUUCUCUAAAUCCCUACUUGUCCUGAACAACUAAAUGGAUUCUGACAUUAUUUCAUACUGAAAUAUCCUAGUGAGUGAGGCAGGCCCUCUGAGACUCUGGUUUAAUUCUUUUCAUUCCCAGUUUUGUUUAUUAUAUAUAAGUAUACAAUCUUUGUAACCAUAGCAGUGUUCAAUGUUCAUACAAGAAUAACAGGUGUGAUGGGUGUUAAUGUAAUAACUUACAUUAAACAGGUGUGAUCGGUGUUAAUGUAAUAACUUACAUUGAACAGGUGUGAUGGGUGUUAAUGUAACAACAACUUACAUUGAACAGGUGUGAUGGGUGUUAAUGUAAUAACUUACAUUCAACAGGUGUGAUGGGUGUUAAUGUAAUAACUGACAUUGAACAGGUGUGAUGGGUGUUAAUGUAACAAUAACUUACAUUGAACAGGUGUGAUGGGUGUUAAUGUAACAACAACUUACAUUGAACAGGUACGAUGGGUGUUAAUGUAAUAACUUACAUUGAACAGGUGUGAUGGGUGUUAAUGUAAUAACUUACAUUGAACAGGUGUGAUGGGUGUUAAUGUAAUAACUUACAUUGAACAGGUACGAUGGGUGUUAAUGUAACUUACAUUUAACAGGUACGAUGGGUGUUAAUGUAACUUACAUUAACAGGUACGAUGGGUGUUAAUGUAAUAACUUACAUUGAACAGGUGUGAUGGGUGUUAAUGUAAUAACUUACAUUGAACAGGUGUGAUGGGUGUUAAUGUAACUUACAUUUAACAGGUACGAUGGGUGUUAAUGUAAUAACUUACAUUGAACAGGUACGAUGGGUGUUAAUGUAGUAACUUACAUUGAACAGGUGUGAUGGGUGUUAAUGUAACAACUUACAUUGAACAGGUGUGAUGGGUGUUAAUGUAAUAACUUACAUUGAACAGGUGUGAUGGGUGUUAAUGUAACAAUAACUUACAUUGAACAGGUACGAUGGGUGUUAAUGUAAUAACUUACAUUGAACAGGUGUAAUGGGUGUUAAUGUAACAAUAACUUACAUUGAACAGGUACGAUGGGUGUUAAUGUAACAACAACUUACAUUGAACAGGUGUGAUGGGUGUUAAUGUAAUAACAACAUACAUUGAACAGGUGUGAUGGGUGUUAAUGUAAUAACUUACAUUGAACAGGUACGAUGGGUGUUAAUGUAACAAUAACUUACAUUGAACAGGUACGAUGGGUGUUAAUGUAAUAACAACAUACAUUGAACAGGUGUGAUUAGUGUUAAUGUAAUAACUUACAUUUAACAGGUACAAUGGGUGUUAAUGUAACAACUUACAUUGAACAGGUGUGAUGGGUGUUACUGUCACAAUAACUUACAUUGAACAGGUACAAUGGGUGUUAAUGUAACUUACAUUGAACAGGUGUGAUGGGUGUUCAUGUAACAACAACUUACAUUGAACCGGUGUGUUGGGUGUUAAUGUAACAAUAACUUACAUUGAACAGGUACAAUGGGUGUUAAUGUAACAACUUACAUUUAACAGGUACAAUGGGUGUUAAUGUAACAACUUACAUUGAACAGGUGUGAUGGGUGUUAAUGUAACAAUAACUUACAUUUAACAGGUACAAUGGGUGUUAAUGUAACAACUUACAUUGAACAGGUGUGAUGGGUGUUAAUGUAACAAUAACUUACAUUUAACAGGUACAAUGGGUGUAAAUGUAACUUACAUUGAACAGGUAUGAUGGGUGUUAAUGUAAUAACUUACAUUGAACAGUUGUGAUGGGUGUCAAUGUAGUAACUUACAUUGAACAGGUACAAUGGGUGUUUAUGUAACUUACAUUGAACAGGUGCGAUGGGUGUUUAUCUAAUAACUUACAUUGAACAGGUACGAUGGGUGUUAAUGUAAUAACUUACAUUUAACAGGUGUGAUGGGUGUUAAUGUAAUAACUUACAUUGAACAGGUGUGAUGGGUGUUAAUGUAAUAACUUACAUUGAACAGGUGUGAUGGGUGUUAAUGUAAUAACUUACAUUUAACAGGUGUGAUGGGUGUUAAUGUAGUAACUUACAUUGAACAGGUGUGAUGGGUGUUAAUGUAACAACAACUUACAUUGAACAGGUGUGAUGGGUGUUAAUGUAACAAUAACUUACAUUUAACAGGUACAAUGGGUGUUAAUGUAACAAUAACUUACAUUGAACAGGUACAAUGGGUGUUAAUGUAACAACAACUUACAUUGAACAGGUGUGAUGGGUGUUAAUGUAACAACAACUUACAUUGAACAGGUGUGAUGGGUGUUAAUGUAACAAUAACUUACAUUUAACAGGUACAAUGGGUGUUAAUGUAACAACUUACAUUUAACAGGUACAAUGGGUGUUAAUGUAACAAUAACUUACAUUUAACAGGUACAAUGGGUGUUAAUGUAACAACAACUUACAUUGAACAGGUGUGAUGGGUGUUAAUGUAACAAUAACUUACAUUGAACAGGUCCAAUGGGUGUUAAUGUAACAACUUACAUUGAACAGGUGUGAUGGGUGUUAAUGUAAUAAUAACUUACAUUGAACAGGUGUGAUGGGUGUUAAUGUAGCAACAACUUACAUUGAACAGGUACGAUGGGUGUUAAUGUAAUAACUUACAUUGAACAGGUACAAUGGGUGUUAAUGUAGCAAUCACUUACAUUAAUGUAUCAUGCAGCAAUUAACAAGUGUAUUGAAAAAAUGAUUCUUUAUGAUGAUAAAAAUGUAAAGAUGAGAAAGGGGGGAAAUAAUUCAUUAGAAAUAUGAUGCUGUCUCCAGCAGGGAAAACAUCGUAGGUGGUGAAAUCACAACCAUACAGCUCAACACUUUUUUGUAUGGUAUAUUUUUAGCUCACCUGCCCUGAGGGCAAGUGAGCUUAUGCCGUGGCGCGGCGUCUGUCUGUCGUCCAUUAUCAACUUUUCCAUUUCAACAACUUCUUCUCAAUAACCAAGAGGCCCAGAGACCUAUGUUGGGCCUGUAGCAUGCUGGGAGGAAUCAAAUUGACCUUCAUUCAAUGUCACAGGGGUCAAAUAGGCUAAAAUCUUUAAACAACUUCUUCUCAAUAACCAAGAUACUCGGGUGAUGAACUACCAAGUUUGUUCAAAUGAAUGACCUUGACUAUCAUUCAAGGUCACAGGGGUCAAAUAACCUAAAAUCUUUAAAAGACAUCUUCUCAAUAACCAACAGGUCAAGGGACUUGAUGUUGGGCCUGUAGCAUGCUGGGGUAAAGGCUGCCAAAUUUUUGCAAAUGAAUGACCUUGACCUACAUUCAAGGUCACAGGGUGAAAUAGGCUAAAAUCUUGAAAUGACUUCUCAAUAACCAAGAGGUCCAGGGAAUGCAUAUUGAUCUGUAGUAUGGGAAUGACCUUGACCUACAUUCAAGGUCGCAGGGGUCAAAUAGACUUAAAUCUUUAAAUGACUUUUCAAUAACCAAAAGACCCAGUGAUAUAGGUCAAAUACACCAUGAUUUAAGAAUUUGAUAUACCAACAGACUUAAAAGACUCCUGAAAUAACUUCAGGGUCCAUAUAUGAAUAUAUGCAUUGCAGGUGAGUGAUUCGGGCCCAUUGGGCCCUUGUUUUUAUAUGAUAAGCAUAGCUGAAAUGUCCAUGUUGUCUUUAGGAUAUUACCUAACAUGGUAAAGGUUUACUGUGUCGCCUUUCUACAAGUCCAAGACACCUGUUACAUGUACAUGUAUAUAGAUCUCUGAUAUAUAUCAAUAUAUCUAUACGUUAAUUUGAAGGCCAUUGUAAAAUGUAGGCUGAAAGCUGACUCGUUUAUGUGAUUUUUUUUUUUACAUUAUUGCUGGUGGCUGUUAGUGAAUACAUGUUGUGAUACUUUUAAAUUGUUGUUUGUUUUUACUUACCAUGAUUGUACUUGAACUAAGUACUCCAGAAAUAAAUAAUUAGGUUCAGAUGAAGGCAAUUAAACUGUAAAUCAAC